GGAGGGGUUCCCGAGUGGCCAAAGGGAUCAGACUGUAAAUCUGACGCGCAAGCUUCGCUGGUUCGAAUCCAGCCCCCUCCACCA
This 84-nucleotide transfer RNA is filed under the name Hahella chejuensis. RNAcentral's name for it is "tRNA-Tyr". It matches the Rfam family "tRNA". From Rfam's summary of the family: Transfer RNA (tRNA) molecules are approximately 80 nucleotides in length. Lineage: Bacteria; Pseudomonadati; Pseudomonadota; Gammaproteobacteria; Oceanospirillales; Hahellaceae. The record is from RNAcentral. RNAcentral also lists the same sequence under 13 other names.